RNAcentral lists this ribosomal RNA (429 nucleotides) under uncultured archaeon. RNAcentral describes it as "bacterial SSU rRNA". It matches the Rfam family "Archaeal small subunit ribosomal RNA", at positions 474 to 903 of the family's 1478-position model. The record is from RNAcentral.
UACCUGCAGCUCAAGUGGUGGCCGUUAUUAUUGGGCCUAAAACGUCCGUAGCCGGUCUAUUAAAUGCCUGGGUAAAUCGGGCCGCUUAACGGUUCGAAUUCCGGGUAGACUGAUAGACUUGGGACCGGGAGAGGCUAGAGGUACUCCUGGGGUAGAGGUGAAAUUCUGUAAUCCUAGGGGGACCACCAGUGGCGAAAGCGUCUAGCUAGAACGGGUCUGACGGUGAGGGACGAAGCCCUGGGGCGCAAACCGGAUUAGAUACCCGGGUAGUCCAGGGUGUAAACGCUGCUUGCUUGAUGUUAGUCGGGCUCCGAGCCCGAUUAGUGUCGGAGAGAAGUUGUUAAGCAAGCUGCCUGGGAAGUACGGCCGCAAGACUGAAACUUAAAGGAAUUGGCGGGGGAGCACAGCAACGGGUGGAGCGUGCGGUUU